CAGUCGCCACGGUAACACGUAGGUGGCAAGCGUUGUCCGGAAUUAUUGGGCGUAAAGGGCUCGCAGGCGGUUUCUUAAGUCUGAUGUGAAAGCCCCCGGCUCAACCGGGGAGGGUUAUUGGAAACUGGGAAACUUGAGUGCAGAAGAGGAGAGUGGAAUUCCACGUGUAGCGGUGAAAUGCGUAGAGAUGUGGAGGAACACCAGUGGCGAAGGCGACUCUCUGGUCUGUAACUGACGCUGAGGAGCGAAAGCGUGGGGAGCGAACAGGAUUAGAUACCCCAGUAGUCCCUGUCUCUUAUAC
This 301-nucleotide ribosomal RNA is filed under the name uncultured bacterium. Its description in RNAcentral is "partial 16S ribosomal RNA". It matches the Rfam family "Bacterial small subunit ribosomal RNA", at positions 509 to 807 of the family's 1533-position model. The record is from RNAcentral.